AGAGUUUGAUCCUGGCUCAGAACGUACGCUGGCGGCACGCCUAACACAUGCAAGUCGAACGAAGUAGCAAUACUUAGUGGCAGACGGGUGAGUAACAUGUAGGUAUCUGCCCUAUGGCCUGGAAUAACACGAGGAAACUUGUGCUAAUACCGGAUAAGUCUUUACAGAGAAAGCUUUAUGCACCAUUGGAUGAGCCUGCACUUGAUUAGUUUGUUGGUGGGGUAAUGGCCUACCAAGACUGUGAUCAAUAGCUGAUUUGAGAGGAUGAUCAGCCACAUUGGGACUGAGACACGGCCCAAACUCCUACGGGAGGCAGCAGUGGGGAAUCUUGCACAAUGGAGGAAACUCUGAUGCAGCGAUGCCGCGUGAGUGAAGAAGGCCCUUGGGUUGUAAAGCUCUUUCGUCGGGGAAGAAAAUGACUGUACCCGAAUAAGAAGGUCCGGCUAACUUCGUGCCAGCAGCCGCGGUAAUACGAAGGGACCUAGCGUAGUUCGGAAUUACUGGGCUUAAAGAGUUCGUAGGUUGUUGAAAAAGUUGGUGGUGAAAUCCCAGAGCUUAACUCUGGAACUGCCAUCAAAACUUUUCAGCUAGAGUAUGAUAGAGGAAAGCAGAAUUUCUAGUGUAGAGGUGAAAUUCGUAGAUAUUAGAAAGAAUACCAAUUGCGAAGGCAGCUUUCUGGAUCAUUACUGACACUGAGGAACGAAAGCAUGGGUAGCGAAGAGGAUUAGAUACCCUCGUAGUCCAUGCCGUAAACGA
Molecule: ribosomal RNA, 756 nt
Filed under: uncultured marine microorganism
Description: bacterial SSU rRNA
Rfam family: Bacterial small subunit ribosomal RNA
Source: RNAcentral